CCCUUAGUUAUCCUAGGUCGCACGCGCCAUACAAUGUGGCGCACAACGAGUCUCCUUGGCCGACAGGAUGUCCCGCGAGCGAUCGGCGACGCAGCCAGCUCGGUCUUCGGGCAGACUCGGUGAGAGUGGCCCGUCCUCCUGAGAGGGCGAUCGUCGAUGCCUCGGGAUUCUGGGCAAUCUGGCAGAGCGCUACGUGACUGGGCUAGACUUUUGUAAUUUUUGGUCUUGAACGAGGAAUGCCUAGUAAUCGCAGGUCAGCAUCCUGCGAGGAUUCGGUCCCUGCCCUUUGUACACACCGCCCGUCGCUCCAUCCGUGGCAUGCGCCGGUGAAGAGGGGGAGGCAGCGUCGGCCGUGUAACAGCGGAUCGUACGUGGAACCCCUCUGAACCUUCGCACGUAGAGGAAGGAGAAGUCGUAACA
Molecule: ribosomal RNA, 420 nt
Filed under: uncultured eukaryote
Lineage: Eukaryota
Description: partial 18S ribosomal RNA
Rfam family: Eukaryotic small subunit ribosomal RNA
Source: RNAcentral